AUAUCAAUAAGCGGAGGAAAAGAAACCAACAGGGAUUGCCUCAGUAACGGCGAGUGAAGCGGCAACAGCUCAAAUUUGAAAUCUGGCCUCUUUGGGGUCCGAGUUGUAAUUUGUAGAGGAUGUUUCGGGUACCGCCUCGGUUUAAAUUUCUUGGAACAGAAUGUCAAAGAGGGUGAGAAUCCCGUCUUGGACCGGCGGUAGGGCCCAUGUGAAACUCCUUCGACGAGUCGAGUUGUUUGGGAAUGCAGCUCAAAAUGGGUGGUAAAUUUCAUCUAAAGCUAAAUAUUGGCCAGAGACCGAUAGCGCACAAGUAGAGUGAUCGAAAGAUGAAAAGCACUUUGAAAAGAGAGUUAAACAGUAUGUGAAAUUGUUGAAAGGGAAGCGCUUACAACCAGACUUGCGCGCGGCGGUUCCCCCUUCCUUUUGGUUGGGCUACUCCGUCGUGUCCAGGCCAACAUCGGUUCUGGGGGUCGGUUAAAGACCCUGGGAAUGUAUCUACCCUUCGGGCGUAGACUUAUAGCUCAGGGUGUCAUGCGACCUCCCGGGACCGAGGAACGCGCUUCGGCUCGGAUGUUGGCGUAAUGGUUGUCAGCGA
RNAcentral lists this ribosomal RNA (595 nucleotides) under uncultured fungus. RNAcentral describes it as "eukaryotic LSU rRNA". It matches the Rfam family "Eukaryotic large subunit ribosomal RNA", at positions 40 to 647 of the family's 3401-position model. The record is from RNAcentral. Lineage: Eukaryota; Fungi.